This 278-nucleotide long non-coding RNA is filed under the name Brassica napus (rape). RNAcentral describes it as "long non-coding RNA (BNAP_LNC024169)". Lineage: Eukaryota; Viridiplantae; Streptophyta; Magnoliopsida; Brassicales; Brassicaceae. The record is from RNAcentral.
AUUUUCUUAAAACAAUUACAUUCAAUAUAUUUAAUCAUAUUUUGCUCAAAACUCUUAUCAAUGAAAAUUAUUUGUACUAAAUAGAAUUAUACUAAAAUUUGUUAUAAACCAUUUAGUGAUCGACCCAUUUAUCAGCCCGUGCAGCAAGACGGGCCAAGCCCAUCCGCAGAAUCAUACUGGCGCCUAUCUACUCUUUUGUUUAUCUACAUUAUAGUUGGUGUUUAUCUUACUUAUUGCUAGUCAUUAUCUAGUUAAGGAUAAGUACGAUCUCAUGUCGA